AUUCCAGCUCCAAUAGCGUAUAUUAAAGUUGUUGCGGUUAAAAAGCUCGUAGUUGGAUUUCUGCCGAGGAUGACCGGUCCGCCCUGUGGGUGUGCAUCUGGCUCAGCCUUGGCAUCUUCCUGAAGAACGUAGCUGCACUUGACUGUGUGGUGCGGUAUUUAGGACAUUUACUUUGAGGAAAUUAGAGUGUUUCAAGCAAGCGCACGCUUUGAAUACAUUAGCAUGGAAUAAUAAGAUAGGACCUCGGUUCUAUUUUGUUGGUUUCUAGAGCUGAGGUAAUGAUUGAUAGGGAUAGUUGGGGGCAUUCAUAUUCCAUUGUCAGAGGUGAAAUUCUUGGAUUAACGGAAGAUGAACUUCUGCGAAAGCAUCUGCCAAGGAUGUUAUCAUCG
This 389-nucleotide ribosomal RNA is filed under the name Dinophyceae sp. Its description in RNAcentral is "partial small subunit ribosomal RNA". It matches the Rfam family "Eukaryotic small subunit ribosomal RNA", at positions 582 to 975 of the family's 1831-position model. Lineage: Eukaryota; Dinophyceae. The record is from RNAcentral.